GUGUCAGCAGCCGCGGUAAUACGGAGGAUCCAAGCGUUAUCCGGAAUCAUUGGGUUUAAAGGGUCCGUAGGCGGCUUUAUAAGUCAGUGGUGAAAUCCGGCAGCUCAACUGUCGAACUGCCAUUGAUACUGUAGAGCUUGAAUUAUUAUGAAGUAACUAGAAUAUGUAGUGUAGCGGUGAAAUGCUUAGAGAUUACAUGGAAUACCAAUUGCGAAGGCAGGUUACUAAUAAUACAUUGACGCUGAUGGACGAAAGCGUGGGUAGCGAACAGGAUUAGAUACCCCAGUAGUCC
This 292-nucleotide ribosomal RNA is filed under the name uncultured bacterium. RNAcentral describes it as "partial 16S ribosomal RNA". It matches the Rfam family "Bacterial small subunit ribosomal RNA", at positions 505 to 796 of the family's 1533-position model. The record is from RNAcentral.